RNAcentral lists this transfer RNA (67 nucleotides) under Beybienkoa kurandanensis. RNAcentral's name for it is "tRNA-Ile". Lineage: Eukaryota; Metazoa; Arthropoda; Insecta; Blattodea; Blattellidae. The record is from RNAcentral.
AAUGAAGUGCCUGAAUAAAGGAUUAUUGUGAUAGAAUAAAUUAUAUAAUUAUAAAUUAUCUUCAUUA